GGCCCUUAUGUCCAGGGCUACACACGUGUUACAAUGGCCGGUACAGAGGGCAGCGUACCUGGAGACAGGAUGCGAAUCUCGAAAGCCGGUCUCAGUUCGGAUCGGAGCCUGCAACUCGACUCCGUGAAGCUGGAUUCGCUAGUAAUCGCGCAUCAGCCAUGGCGCGGUGAAUACGUUCCCGGGCCUU
This 187-nucleotide ribosomal RNA is filed under the name uncultured Sphingobacteriales bacterium. Its description in RNAcentral is "partial 16S ribosomal RNA". It matches the Rfam family "Bacterial small subunit ribosomal RNA", at positions 1197 to 1382 of the family's 1533-position model. Lineage: Bacteria; Pseudomonadati; Bacteroidota; Sphingobacteriia; Sphingobacteriales. The record is from RNAcentral.